GACAUGGUGGCCUAAUGGUUAGCGCAAGGUGGACUCCAGAUCGAGCUGUCCGGGUUCAAGCCCUGGCCGGGUCA
This is a non-coding RNA of Desmophyllum pertusum, 74 nucleotides long. Lineage: Eukaryota; Metazoa; Cnidaria; Anthozoa; Scleractinia; Caryophylliidae. The record is from the annotation of a GenBank genome assembly.